CAUCUGCAAGCAGAGGGGAUGACGAAAUGCAUUAGUACUGAAGAAUAACGUUCUCCCAUCUUCUCGGAAAACAUCUGGGGUAUCACCCUCCCCUCCACUCAUCCCCCCACCUCCCACCACAAAGCUGGUUCUUGGCUGACAGUUUAUCAGAGAUAAAUGGAAACACCUGGGAUCCAGAUAAGGCCAACUGAGUGUGAUCAGCUGAGGAGCCCUUGGGGACAUAUGCCACUCAGUAUUUCUUUUUCCACCCCAGGCAGGUUGGGGACGUGAUCUAGCCUGUGACUGAAGGCGAGGCUCACUUUCACAUUCAUUCUUUCCUUCAUUCAUUCCAAACAACCUCCAGAGGUCAGAGGUCAGCCAGUUCAGCUUCCUGCCUGAGGUUGAGAAGCGAAAGCAUCAGAGAAGAGGAGGAUCGAUUUCACACCAGGGCCUCAGGCUGUAUGGGUGGAUUCCCUGUGCCAGACCGUUUGUCUGGCAACUGCAGAACUAGAAAAGAAAUCUCGGCCCUACCCAGGAGUCUCAGAGCUCCCACCGCCUCAUGCGCCCAUCACAGCUUUUUGGAUCGACAGCCCCCUCUUUCAGUCAAUAGGAGCUUUGUGAGCUAAACAACAGAUGCCACAGGGCCUAGAAGGCAAAUAAAUAUGGUUAUUCAA
This is a long non-coding RNA of Neofelis nebulosa (Clouded leopard), 653 nucleotides long. RefSeq lists it as uncharacterized. Lineage: Eukaryota; Metazoa; Chordata; Mammalia; Carnivora; Felidae. The transcript is spliced from 2 exons. The record is from RefSeq and is a predicted model, not a curated record.